This 497-nucleotide ribosomal RNA is filed under the name uncultured bacterium. RNAcentral's name for it is "partial 16S ribosomal RNA". It matches the Rfam family "Bacterial small subunit ribosomal RNA", at positions 28 to 507 of the family's 1533-position model. The record is from RNAcentral.
GAUGAACGCUGGCGGCGUGCCUAAUACAUGCAAGUCGAGCGAACGGACGAGAAGCUUGCUUCUCUGAUGUUAGCGGCGGACGGGUGAGUAACACGUGGAUAACCUACCUAUAAGACUGGGAUAACUUCGGGAAACCGGAGCUAAUACCGGAUAAUAUUUUGAACCGCAUAGUUCAAAAGUGAAAGACGGUCUUGCUGUCACUUAUAGAUGGAUCCACGCUGCAUUAGCUAGUUGGUAAGGUAACGGCUUACCAAGGCAACGAUGCAUAGCCGACCUGAGAGGGUGAUCGGCCACACUGGAACUGAGACACGGCCCAGACUCCUACGGGAGGCAGCAGUAGGGAAUCUUCCGCAAUGGGCGAAAGCCUGACGGAGCAACGCCGCGUGAGUGAUGAAGGUCUUCGGAUCGUAAAACUCUGUUAUUAGGGAAGAACAUAUGUGUAAGUAACUGUGCACAUCUUGACGGUACCUAAUCAGAAAGCCACGGCUAACUACGUG